Molecule: ribosomal RNA, 468 nt
Filed under: uncultured bacterium
Lineage: Bacteria
Description: partial 16S ribosomal RNA
Rfam family: Bacterial small subunit ribosomal RNA
Source: RNAcentral
GACGAACGCUGGCGGCGUGCUUAACACAUGCAAGUCGAACGGAAAGGCCCUGCUUUUGUGGGGUGCUCGAGUGGCGAACGGGUGAGUAACACGUGAGUAACCUGCCCUUGACUUUGGGAUAACUUCAGGAAACUGGGGCUAAUACCGGAUAGGAGCUCCUGCUGCAUGGUGGGGGUUGGAAAUUUUCGGCGGUUGGGGAUGGACUCGCGGCUUAUCAGCUUGUUGGUGGGGUAGUGGCUUACCAAGGCUUUGACGGGUAGCCGGCCUGAGAGGGUGACCGGCCACAUUGGGAAUGAGAUACGGCCCAGACUCCUACGGGAGGCAGCAGUGGGGAAUAGUGCACAAUGGGCGGAAGCCUGAUGCAGCAACGCCGCGUGCGGGAUGACGGCCUUCGGGUUGUAAACCGCUUUAGCCUGUGACGAAGCGUGAGUGACGGUAAUGGGUAAAGAAGCACCGGCUAACUACGUG